This 460-nucleotide ribosomal RNA is filed under the name uncultured bacterium. RNAcentral describes it as "partial 16S ribosomal RNA". It matches the Rfam family "Bacterial small subunit ribosomal RNA", at positions 338 to 795 of the family's 1533-position model. The record is from RNAcentral.
CCUACGGGUGGCAGCAGUGAGGAAUAUUGGUCAAUGGCCGUAAGGCUGAACCAGCCAAGUCGAGUGAAGGAAGAAGGAUCUAUGGUUUGUAAACUUCUUUUAUAGGGGAAUAAAGGUAUCCACGUGUGGAUAUUUGCAUGUCCCCUAUGAAUAAGCAUCGGCUAACUCCGUGCCAGCAGCCGCGGUAAUACGGAGGAUGCGAGCGUUAUCCGGAUUUAUUGGGUUUAAAGGGUGCGUAGGUUGUUUUUUAAGUCAGCGGUGAAAGUUUGUGGCUCAACCAUAAAAUUGCCGUUGAAACUGGAAGACUUGAGUGUGUUUGAGGUAGGCGGAAUGCGUGGUGUAGCGGUGAAAUGCAUAGAUAUCACGCAGAACUCCGAUUGCGAAGGCAGCUUACUAAGCCAUAACUGACACUGAAGCACGAAAGUGUGGGGAGCAAACAGGAUUAGAUACCCCAGUAGUC